Molecule: ribosomal RNA, 206 nt
Filed under: uncultured bacterium
Lineage: Bacteria
Description: partial 16S ribosomal RNA
Rfam family: Bacterial small subunit ribosomal RNA
Source: RNAcentral
UGCGUAGGUGGUUUCUUAAGUCAGGAGUGAAAGGCUACGGCUCAACCGUAGUAAGCUCUUGAAACUGGGAAACUUGAGUGCAGGAGAGGAAAGUGGAAUUCCUAGUGUAGCGGUAAAAUGCGUAGAUAUUAGGAGGAACACCAGUGGCGAAGGCGGCUAUCUGGACAACAACUGACGCUGAGGCGCGAAAGCGUGGGGAGCAAACA